GACAGAGGGUGCAAACGUUGCUCGGAAUCACUGGGCGUAAAGGGCGCGUAGGCGGCGUUUUAAGUCGGGGGUGAAAGCCUGUGGCUCAACCACAGAAUGGCCUUCGAUACUGGGACGCUUGAGUAUGGUAGAGGUUGGUGGAACUGCGAGUGUAGAGGUGAAAUUCGUAGAUAUUCGCAAGAACACCGGUGGCGAAGGCGGCCAACUGGACCAUUACUGACGCUGAGGCGCGAAAGCGUGGGGAGCAAACAGG
Molecule: ribosomal RNA, 253 nt
Filed under: uncultured bacterium
Lineage: Bacteria
Description: partial 16S ribosomal RNA
Rfam family: Bacterial small subunit ribosomal RNA
Source: RNAcentral